CCUACGGGAGGCAGCAGUGGGGAAUAUUGGGCAAUGGAGGAAACUCUGACCCAGCAACGCCGCGUGAAUGAUGAAGGUCUUCGGAUUGUAAAGUUCUUUUCUAAGGGAAGAAGAAAGUGACGGUACCUUAGGAAUAAGCCUCGGCUAACUACGUGCCAGCAGUCGCGGCAAUACGUAGGAGGCAAGCGUUAUCCGGAAUGACUGGGCGUAAAGGGUGCGUAGGUGGUUUGACGAGUUGGUAGCGUAAUUCCGGGGCUCAACCUCGGCAGUACGACCAAAACUGGCGGGCUUGAGUGCAGGAGAGGCAAAUGGAAUUCGUGGUGUAGCGGUGGAAUGCGUAGAUAUUAGGAAGAACACCAGUGGCGAAGGCGGUUUACUGGACUGUAACUGACACUGUGGCACGAAAGCGUGGGGAGCAAACAGGAUUAGAUACCCGAGUAGUC
RNAcentral lists this ribosomal RNA (443 nucleotides) under uncultured bacterium. RNAcentral describes it as "partial 16S ribosomal RNA". It matches the Rfam family "Bacterial small subunit ribosomal RNA", at positions 338 to 795 of the family's 1533-position model. The record is from RNAcentral.